Long non-coding RNA from Diabrotica virgifera virgifera (western corn rootworm), 1617 nucleotides. RefSeq lists it as uncharacterized. The transcript is spliced from 2 exons. The record is from RefSeq and is a predicted model, not a curated record. Lineage: Eukaryota; Metazoa; Arthropoda; Insecta; Coleoptera; Chrysomelidae.
UUAAAUUAAAACUUGUAGCUACUUUAGUUUUUUCAAUUUAUAAAUCUAGUUUAAAUUAAACUAAAAAGAAAUAUAUCUUUUUUGUAAACAAACACAUUUAACGGCUAAACAGCUGGCUCCGGUUGGAUGAUACUGCGCAGGACGAGUGUAAUAUCCACCACCGUCUCGGAGGUAGGUGUAGAAAAGUGUUACACUUUUUUUCCUACAGCAUUUCAAAGAAACGAGUUGUACGCGUUCUACGACAGAAGUUGAGUGUAUCGUGAAAAAAAGUGUAAACACUAGAAAAACAAAGAAACAAGAAAGUGUAACACUUUUACACUUUUCAAGAACUAGUGUUACACUUAAAACAAAGGAACAGACCUAAUGAGUGUAAAAUGACAGCGGAUGUGACAGCGGCUCAUGACAGCGGACAGUAUUAAACGAAAAUUAUCGGUGUGCCAAUCAAGCAAAGGGACAAGGAACUUCCGAAUAUGGCCUAAGUUGUUCGGUGCUUAGACAAGGAAAGAGAGAGGACGAGUAAUCCUAUGACCAAAAGUGAAGCCAAACUGACACCAGGGAUUUUGAUCAUCGACGUAUCUUUGGGGUAUUGUUAUGCAUUGAGUAUUUAAAAUAAAAACAUGAAAUGUAUUUAAAAUGAAGAAUUUGUGUACGGUAAAUGUUUUAUUAAGUUGCUCAUAUUACCUACAUAUGUUUCAAUACAUACAUAUGUUUUUAUUACGAAUUUUAGAUGAUGAUUUACUUUAUUUUUUAUGAAAUUUUAACCUUCAACGAACACCCACCACUGGCAACCCAUUGUUAUUUUUGACGUGACCGCCAUGUUUCUGGUGACAAACAAACCAAAAACUGGCUUCACUUUUGGAACGUGUAUGUUAAAUGGGUGUUACCCGUCCUCUCUUUUUUCCUUGUCUAAGGUUCGGUGGCCUAACUGGGGGCACAUAACAUAACAUAACCUAAUUAAUCCUAAUAUGUACAUUUGUAAAGAAUAUCCUGUUUGUUUUUAUUGUCGAUUGUGCAGCAAAUCAAAUAUAAAGUAGUUUAUCGCCUACAGAACUGAAUUAGUCCAUAGCAGUUAUCAGUUUUUCUUUCUUGGGAAGCUUAUACAUGUAACUUGUAUUGUUGUAAAUUGUGGGAGUAGGGCAGACAGGGAAAAGUCUUAUUUUGUACUGUUCCCAAGGCUCCCCAUGCAAUACAUUUAAAUGAAUUAUCCAAACAAAGCUGGGGACAAUGGAUAAAAGCCACAAGAAGAACAGAUAUAAGGGAACUAAAAUUAAAAUAUGAAAAGUAAACAUUUUGUAAGUGGAACAACCACCAGAUAUUUAAAAGGUAUAAAAAGAAGAAACUGCUGGAAUUUCAAAACAAAUGUGUUUGACUAGUAAAUAUUUGGAUAAAUAACAGGAGUUACUUUGGGCUAUAGCUACGUGCAGAUUUAUUUCCUUGUGGCUUCCUAUGUUAAUUCUUAUUAAUUAUACACUUAAAUAUGUUUUUAGUCUCAGGAAGAUUUUAUAUUUGAUUAUUUUUGAAUAAACAUUAUUAUUAUUAUUACCUUAAUUUCCAUUAAAUAAAUUAACUGUAAUCAAUAAAGUAAUCGUUUAAUUGUUAAUAAAUUAUCAAGUAUGA